CACUGCUGCGUGCCUCUGUGGGGAACAACGGGGUCAUCAACCUGAGGAGCUUGGCUGCCAGAGGGGAUGGCAGCUGCCAGCUCUGCGGUCAUCCCUACAUGCCAGCAGGAUGAGGAGCUGGCUGCCUGCAGCCAGCACGGGGCCAGUUGGGCUCAGCACCCAGCUGGGUCUGUGGGUGCUCUGCACCCAUCCUGAGCAUGGGGCUGAGCUCUGGCUGGCCAGCCUCAUACUUCGCUUUCUGCCUUAGUUUGUACACACCAGAGUGUUGACUUGGAGACUGUUUCUAGUUUGGGGGGGGGGGGGGGGGGCGCGGUUUGAGCCUGUACCUACUUCAUCAAGGACCGUACUAUCAGUCAUUGCCAAUGUUGCACCCUUAGGACAAGCCUCUGAUUUCCAAAACGAUGUGCCUGCUCUGUGUCCUAGUCUGCUUGCUGUCGGUCCACCAGCCAUCCUGCUGCAUGUUUUCUGCUUAGCCCCCUUGUGCUAGUUCAAACGGGCUCUUUCAGAGGUACAGUAGGAACAGCCAGGGGACCACGUUCUGUGAGGAGUGUACAGAGCAUCCCAUUUUCACCUGCCCUAAAGUGGGAAAAUGUGUCCACUGACCCCUCAGAGGAAGACAAGGCUCCUGGCACUGGCAGGUGGCACAGCUUGGUCUUGGAAGAGCAAGCAGAAGAGGGAGCUGAAAAGCAGUGGGUGCACUCCUGAGCUCCUCCCAGCACACCCAGAGAGGGGCAAGAGCAUUACAAAAUCAUGGCGACCAUAAAAACUCAGUGCUUCUGAUCAUAUGGCAAUUUGCAUUUACACUUUAAUUGCUACGGACACAUAGUGCUCCACCCACGUUUGCAAGUGAAGGACUACAAAAAGAAGCCGUGAACAUGGUGUGUUCCCAAUAAAAAGCUCACUCACGUGGGCAAAACCUCCUUGUCAUGCAACAACAGCAAAUAAGGACAGCAAAGCUCACAGGUGGCACUGGAGAACGCCCUGGAAUGACGCCGUGUUUUCUAGUUGAUGGGAGUUUGCGAUAGUCAGCAAGUAACUUCUGAUGUGUUAGACAAGAGCCAGAGAGUGCCAGUAACAGAGCAGUGACGUCUGUGCCCCGUCCCACUUCUCCUGAAGUGCUCCCUGCUUUGGUCAAAGGGUAAGGUGCCAGGCGUGGCUGGGCUUAGGUCCUGACUUGCUGUUGUGGCAGUUCCCCGGGGCUGGAUGCCUGUUGUACAUUAACUAACCUGUACUAUAGAAGAAAGGUCAUGUAUGCAACCUGGAGAAAAAAAACACCAAAAAAACACCGAGUCAUCUGUGCUACAUGUUUCAGACCUGAGCUGACCCAGGUUUCCAUGGAAUUGUGCUUCUGUACUGGGCAGUCACCCCACGGUGUGAAAUGUUGGUACAAACGAUGUCAUUGUGCUACAUGCAGGAGAUAUAUUGGCAAGAUCCACGUUACAAGGCCUGGUUCUGGCCAUCAUCUGAUCCUUUCUGAACAUACUGUCAAGGCAGUUGAUCUCAAUUCUAGUGCUGUGCCUUUUGGGUUUGCUUUGGUGCAGUAUGACAUUCAGGAUUCCUUUACAGGCAACUGUGCAGAGCAGGAAAAAUCUACGUGAAAUGCUGCCUACUGGAGUCACCAUCUGGCCAAUAUUCAUCUUGUUUAGUGAAAUACCAAGGUAUCCAUAGAACGCAGGUGUUAAUGCAGAUCAUAAGGCACAAGUGACCGCAGUAAUAAACCAACAUGCAAUGAAAUGUAAUUAACGCACCUGGUGCUUGGGUUUGAAAAGAAUUUCAGUGCCUUUUUAUUUUCCCUGCACACUGAUAUGCAUUUUAAUAGUUGGAACUUCAAUCAUCACUUCUCAACCAACCCUUUAAUCAUAUUAAUUCCCUUAAAAAGUGAACUAUAAUGUUUGCUAGUAAAUAGUAUUUCAUAAUUUAAUUGGGAGGAGAGAAAAAAGUGGAAGCACACAUGAAACUGUGUGCUGCUUAGUAGCAUUUUUGUGGCAUGAAAAAGGCUAUUGUCCUGUUUCUGUUAGUCUGGUUCUGCUGCUGGCAAAGGUUUGUUUUCAGUCGUGUAAUCCUUGUUGAUACGUUCCGAGUGCUUUUGAACCAGCUGGAACAAGUGAAAAGAUCCCAGGCAAGAAAAUAAAUGAUUAAGCUUUCUAUCACUGGA
Molecule: long non-coding RNA, 2155 nt
Organism: Falco peregrinus (peregrine falcon)
Lineage: Eukaryota; Metazoa; Chordata; Aves; Falconiformes; Falconidae
Exons: 2
Source: RefSeq, a predicted model, not a curated record